This 465-nucleotide ribosomal RNA is filed under the name Vreelandella stevensii. RNAcentral's name for it is "partial 16S ribosomal RNA". It matches the Rfam family "Bacterial small subunit ribosomal RNA", at positions 338 to 795 of the family's 1533-position model. Lineage: Bacteria; Pseudomonadati; Pseudomonadota; Gammaproteobacteria; Oceanospirillales; Halomonadaceae. The record is from RNAcentral.
CCUACGGGCGGCUGCAGUGGGGAAUAUUGGACAAUGGGCGAAAGCCUGAUCCAGCCAUGCCGCGUGUGUGAAGAAGGCCUUCGGGUUGUAAAGCACUUUCAGUGGGGAAGAAAGCCUUGGGGCUAAUACCCUCGAGGAAGGACAUCACCCACAGAAGAAGCACCGGCUAACUCCGUGCCAGCAGCCGCGGUAAUACGGAGGGUGCGAGCGUUAAUCGGAAUUACUGGGCGUAAAGCGCGCGUAGGCGGUCUGAUAAGCCGGUUGUGAAAGCCCCGGGCUCAACCUGGGAACGGCAUCCGGAACUGUCAGGCUAGAGUGCAGGAGAGGGAGGUAGAAUUCCCGGUGUAGCGGUGAAAUGCGUAGAGAUCGGGAGGAAUACCAGUGGCGAAGGCGGCCUUCUGGACUGACACUGACGCUGAGGUGCGAAAGCGUGGGUAGCAAACAGGAUUAGAUACCCCAGUAGUC